This 854-nucleotide ribosomal RNA is filed under the name uncultured Bacteroidota bacterium. RNAcentral describes it as "bacterial SSU rRNA". It matches the Rfam family "Bacterial small subunit ribosomal RNA", at positions 64 to 916 of the family's 1533-position model. The record is from RNAcentral. Lineage: Bacteria; Pseudomonadati; Bacteroidota.
AAACGGCAGCUUAGCUUGCUAAGCUGGACGUCGACCGGCGCACGGGUGAGUAACGCGUAUCCAACCUGCCCCACGGUGAGGGAUAACCCGCGGAAACGCGGCCUAAUACCUCAUGGUCUCCGAGUUUGCCAUCAACCUUGGAGUAAAGAUUCAUUGCCGUGGGAUGGGGAUGCGUCUGAUUAGCUUGUUGGCGGGGCAACGGCCCACCAAGGCAACGAUCAGUAGGGGUUCUGAGAGGAAAGCCCCCCACAUUGGAACUGAGACACGGUCCGAACUCCUACGGGAGGCAGCAGUGAGGAAUAUUGGUCAAUGGGCGAGAGCCUGAACCAGCCAAGUAGCGUGCAGGAAGACGGCCCUAUGGGUUGUAAACUGCUUUUAUGCGGGGAUAAAGCGGGCGACGUGUCGCCCUUUGCAGGUACCGCAUGAAUAAGGACCGGCUAAUUCCGUGCCAGCAGCCGCGGUAAUACGGAAGGUCCGGGCGUUAUCCGGAUUUAUUGGGUUUAAAGGGAGCGCAGGCCGGGUAUUAAGCGUGUUGUGAAAUGUAGGCGCCCAACGUCUGCACCGCAGCGCGAACUGGUGCCCUUGAGUACGCACGACGUUGGCGGAAUUCGCCGUGUAGCGGUGAAAUGCUUAGAUAUGGCGAAGAACUCCGAUUGCGAAGGCAGCUGACGGGAGCGCUACUGACGCUCAUGCUCGAAAGCGCGGGUAUCGAACAGGAUUAGAUACCCUGGUAGUCCGCGCGGUAAACGAUGGAUGCCCGCUAUUUGCGCAUUAGCGCAAGUGGCCAAGUGAAAACGUUAAGCAUCCCACCUGGGGAGUACGCCGGCAACGGUGCAACUAAAGGGAAUUGACGG